Molecule: ribosomal RNA, 301 nt
Filed under: uncultured bacterium
Lineage: Bacteria
Description: partial 16S ribosomal RNA
Rfam family: Bacterial small subunit ribosomal RNA
Source: RNAcentral
CAGCAGCCGCGGUAAUACGUAGGUGGCAAGCGUUGUCCGGAAUUAUUGGGCGUAAAGGGCUCGCAGGCGGUUUCUUAAGUCUGAUGUGAAAGCCCCCGGCUCAACCGGGGAGGGUCAUUGGAAACUGUGAAACUUGAGUGCAGAAGAGGAGAGUGGAAUUCCACGUGUAGCGGUGAAAUGCGUAGGGAUGUGGAGGAACACCAGUGGCGAAGGCGACUCUCUGGUCUGUAACUAACGCUGAGGAGCGAAAGCGUGGGGAGCGAACAGGAUUAGAUACCCCAGUAGUCCCUGUCUCUUAUAC